GACGAACGCUGGCGGCGCGCUUAACACAUGCCAGUCGAACGGAAAGGCCUGCUUUCCCUUGUGGAUUGCGGGUACUCGAGUGGCGAACGGGUGAGUAACACGUGAGUGAUCUGCCCCCAACUUGGGUAUAAGCCUGGGAAACUGGGUCUAAUUCCCGAUAGGACUGCAGGGUGGUGCCUGUGGUGGAAAACGAUUUUCUAGUGGUUGGGGAUGAGCUCGCGGCCUAUCAGCUUGUUGGUGGGGUAAUGGCCUACCAAGGCGGCGACGGGUAGCCGGCCUGAGAGGGUGGACGGCCACAUUGGGACUGAGAUACGGCCCAGACUCCGACGGGAGGCAGCAGUGGGGAAUAGUGCACAAUGGGCGGAAGCCUGAUGCAGCGACGCCGCGUGGGGGAUGACGGCCUUCGGGUUGUAAACUCCUUUCGACCGCGAGGAAGCCACCUGGUUGGAAGGGUGGUGACGGUAGUGGUAGAAGAAGCACCGGCUAACUACGUG
Molecule: ribosomal RNA, 494 nt
Filed under: uncultured bacterium
Lineage: Bacteria
Description: partial 16S ribosomal RNA
Rfam family: Bacterial small subunit ribosomal RNA
Source: RNAcentral